This 56-nucleotide transfer RNA is filed under the name Dermatophagoides pteronyssinus (European house dust mite). RNAcentral's name for it is "tRNA-Pro". Lineage: Eukaryota; Metazoa; Arthropoda; Arachnida; Sarcoptiformes; Pyroglyphidae. The record is from RNAcentral.
CUAGGGUUAUUCUAUUUAAGAUUACGGCUUUGGGAGUUGUAGAAUUACCCCUUGGA